GACGAACGCUGGCGGCGUGCUUAACACAUGCAAGUCGAACGGAAAGGCCCCCUUGUGGGGUACUCGAGUGGCGAACGGGUGAGUAACACGUGAGUAACCUACCCUUGACUUUGGGAUAACUUCAGGAAACUGGGGCUAAUACCGGAUAGGAGCUCCUGCUGCAUGGUGGGGGUUGGAAAGUUUCGGCGGUUGGGGAUGGGCUCGCGGCUUAUCAGCUUGUUGGUGGGGUAGUGGCUCACCAAGGCUUUGACGGGUAGCCGGCCUGAGAGGGUGACCGGCCACAUUGGGACUGCGAUACGGCCCAGACUCCUACGGGAGGCAGCAGUGGGGAAUAUUGCACAAUGGGCGGAAGCCUGAUGCAGCAACGCCGCGUGCGGGAUGACGGCCUUCGGGUUGUAAACCGCUUUCGCCUGUGACGAAGCGUGAGUGACGGUAAUGGGUAAAGAAGCACCGGCUAACUACGUG
This 465-nucleotide ribosomal RNA is filed under the name uncultured bacterium. RNAcentral describes it as "partial 16S ribosomal RNA". It matches the Rfam family "Bacterial small subunit ribosomal RNA", at positions 28 to 507 of the family's 1533-position model. The record is from RNAcentral.